Molecule: small RNA, 126 nt
Filed under: Marmota monax (woodchuck)
Lineage: Eukaryota; Metazoa; Chordata; Mammalia; Rodentia; Sciuridae
Source: RNAcentral
GCCAGGUGUGGUGGCGCACACCUGUAAUCCCAGUGUCUUGGGAGGCUGAGACAGGAGGAUUGAGAGUUCAAAAGCCAGCCUCAGCAAUGGCGAGGUCCUAAGUGACUCAGUGAGACCUUGUCUCUA